Molecule: ribosomal RNA, 537 nt
Filed under: uncultured bacterium
Lineage: Bacteria
Description: bacterial SSU rRNA
Rfam family: Bacterial small subunit ribosomal RNA
Source: RNAcentral
GAGUUUGACCCUGGCUCAGGAUGAACGCUGGCGGCGUGCCUAAUACAUGCAAGUCGAGCGAACAGAUAAGGAGCUUGCUCCUUUGACGUUAGCGGCGGACGGGUGAGUAACACGUGGGUAACCUACCUAUAAGACUGGAAUAACUCCGGGAAACCGGGGCUAAUGCCGGAUAAUAUUUAGAACCGCAUGGUUCUAAAGUGAAAGAUGGUUUUGCUAUCACUUAUAGAUGGACCCGCGCCGUAUUAGCUAGUUGGUGGGGUAAUGGCUUACCAAGGCAACGAUACGUAGCCGACCUGAGAGGGUGAUCGGCCACACUGGAACUGAGACACGGUCCAGACUCCUACGGGAGGCAGCAGUAGGGAAUCUUCCGCAAUGGGCGAAAGCCUGACGGAGCAACGCCGCGUGAGUGAUGAAGGUCUUCGGAUCGUAAAACUCUGUUAUUAGGGAAGAACAAAUGUGUAAGUAACUGUGCACGUCUUGACGGUACCUAAUCAGAAAGCCACGGCUAACUACGUGCCAGCAGCCGCGGUAAUACGU